RNAcentral lists this ribosomal RNA (810 nucleotides) under uncultured bacterium. Its description in RNAcentral is "bacterial SSU rRNA". It matches the Rfam family "Bacterial small subunit ribosomal RNA", at positions 524 to 1354 of the family's 1533-position model. The record is from RNAcentral.
UACGAGGGAUGCAAGCGUUAUCCGGAAUUAUUGGGCGUAAAGCGUUUGUAGGCGGGCGAGUGUGUUUAAUGUUAAAUCUUAAAGCUCAACUUUGAAAUUGCGUUAAAAACUGCUUGUCUUGAGUAUGGUAGGGGUAAAGGGAAUUCCCAGUGUAGCGGUGAAAUGCGUAGAUAUUGGGAAGAACACUAAACAGCGAAGGCACUUUACUAGGCUAAUACUGACGCUGAGAAACGAAAGGUAAGGUAGCGAAACGGAUUAGAUACCCGUGUAGUCUUACCCGUAAACUAUGGACACUAAACGGUAAAUUUUUAAUUUACUGUUAAAGCUAACGCGUUAAGUGUCCCGCCUGGGGAGUAUGCUUGCAAAAGUGAAACUCAAAGGAAUUGACGGGGGCCCGCACAAGCGGUGGAGCAUGUGGUUUAAUUCGACGGUACACGAAGAACCUUACCAGGAUUUGACAUGCUAGAUAGUUGCUUGAAAGAGUAACGUGCCGUAAGGAAUCUAGACACAGGUGGUGCAUGGCUGUCGUCAGUUCGUGUUGUGAAAUGUUGGGUUAAGUCCCGCAACGAACGCAACCCUUGUCUUUAGUUAUUUUCUAAAGAGACUGCCUGUAAUAAACAGGAGGAAGGUAAGGAUGAGGUCAAGUCAUCAUGCCCCUUAUGUCCUGGGCUACACACGUGCUACAAUGGGAAAGACAAUGAGCUGCAAAUCUGUAAAUUUAAGCAAAUCUCUUAAACUUUCUCGUAGUUCGGAUUGUGGGCUGCAACUCGCCCACAUGAAGUUGGAAUCGCUAGUAAUCGCCAGUCAGCU